Molecule: ribosomal RNA, 1345 nt
Filed under: metagenome
Description: bacterial LSU rRNA
Rfam family: Bacterial large subunit ribosomal RNA
Source: RNAcentral
UGAGUACGAGCUGCUACGGCAGCGAAGUGGGUGAUGUCAAGCUUCCAAGAAAAGCCCUAUACCCGUUAAGGCAUGACAGCCUGUACCCGAAACCGACACAGGUGGGGUGGUAGAGAAUACCGAGGGGCGCGAGAUAACUCUCUCUAAGGAACUCGGCAAAAUGGCCCCGUAAUUUCGGGAGAAGGGGUGCCACCGCAAGGUGGUCGCAGUGAAGAGGCCCAGGCGACUGUUUACCAAAAACACAGGUCUCCGCUAAGUCGCAAGACGAUGUAUGGGGGCUGACGCCUGCCCAGUGCCGGAAGGUUAAGGAAGCUGGUCAGCGCAAGCGAAGCUAGCGACUGAAGCCCCGGUGAACGGCGGCCGUAACUAUAACGGUCCUAAGGUAGCGAAAUUCCUUGUCGGGUAAGUUCCGACCCGCACGAAAGGCGUAACGAUCUGGGCGCUGUCUCGGAGAGAGGCUCGGCGAAAUAGAAUUGUCUGUGAAGAUGCGGACUACGUGCACCCGGACAGAAAGACCCUAUGAAGCUUUACUGUAGCUUGGUAUUGUGCCCGGGCUCUGAAUGCGCAGGAUAGGUGGGAGGCUUUGAUCCAUUGCUUGUGGGUAAUGGUGAGCCACUGGUGAGAUACCACUCUUUCAGAGCUAGGGUUCUAACGGUCACCCGUUAUCCGGGGACCGGACAGUAUCAGGUGGGCAGUUUGACUGGGGCGGUCGCCUCCUAAAAGGUAACGGAGGCGCGCAAAGGUUCCCUCAGGCUGGUUGGAAAUCAGCCGACGAGUGUAAAGGCAGAAGGGAGCUUGACUGUGAGACCUACAAGUCGAACAGGGACGAAAGUCGGCCUUAGUGAUCCGACGGUUCUGAGUGGAAGGGCCGUCGCUCAACGGAUAAAAGUUACUCUAGGAUAACAGGCUGAUCUCCCCCAAGAGUUCACAUCGACGGGGAGGUUUGGCACCUCGAUGUCGGCUCAUCGCAACCUGGGGCUGAAGUCGGUCCCAAGGGUUGGGCUGUUCGCCCAUUAAAGCGGUACGCGAGCUGGGUUCAGAACGUCGUAGACAGUUCGGUCCAUAUCCGGUGCACGCGCAGGAACAUUGAGAGGAUUUCUCCCUAGUACGAGAGGACCGGGAGGAACGCACCUCUGGUGUACCAGUUAUCGUGCCAACGGUAAACGCUGGGUAGCCAUGUGCGGAGCGGAUAACCGCUGAAAGCAUCUAAGUGGGAAGCCCACCUCAAGAUGAGUGUUCCCAUGGCAUAAGCCAGUAAGGUCACGGGAAGAACACCCGUUGAUAGGCUCUACGUGGAAGCGUGGCAACACGUGAAGCGGAGGAGUACUAAUAGACCGAGGGCUUG